Molecule: non-coding RNA, 134 nt
Organism: Triticum aestivum (bread wheat)
Lineage: Eukaryota; Viridiplantae; Streptophyta; Magnoliopsida; Poales; Poaceae
Source: Rfam
AACAUACUCCCUCCGUCCGGAAAUACUUGUCAUCAAAAUGAAUAAAAGGGGUUGUACUAGAUAUAUAUUAGGUCUAGAUACAUCUCUUAUUAUCCAUUUUGAUGACAAGUAUUUUCGGACAGAGGGAGUACCAU